RNAcentral lists this ribosomal RNA (1337 nucleotides) under uncultured bacterium. RNAcentral describes it as "16S ribosomal RNA". It matches the Rfam family "Bacterial small subunit ribosomal RNA", at positions 28 to 1386 of the family's 1533-position model. The record is from RNAcentral.
GACGAACGCUGGCGGCGCGCCUAACACAUGCAAGUCGAACGAGCAAGAGAGAGCUUGCUUUCUCGAGCGAGUGGCGAACGGGUGAGUAACGCGUGAGGAACCUGCCUCAAAGAGGGGGACAACAGUUGGAAACGACUGCUAAUACCGCAUAAGCCCACGGUGCCGCAUGGCACAGAGGGAAAAGGAGCAAUCCGCUUUGAGAUGGCCUCGCGUCCGAUUAGCUAGUUGGUGAGGUAACGGCCCACCAAGGCAACGAUCGGUAGCCGGACUGAGAGGUUGAACGGCCACAUUGGGACUGAGACACGGCCCAGACUCCUACGGGAGGCAGCAGUGGGGAAUAUUGCACAAUGGGGGAAACCCUGACGCAGCGACGCCGCGUGGAGGAAGAAGGUCUUCGGAUUGUAAACUCCUGUUGUUGGGGAAGAUAAUGACGGUACCCAACAAGGAAGUGACGGCUAACUACGUGCCAGCAGCCGCGGUAAAACGUAGGUCACAAGCGUUGUCCGGAAUUACUGGGUGUAAAGGGAGCGCAGGCGGGAAGACAAGUUGGAAGUGAAAUCUAUGGGCUCAACCCAUAAACUGCUUUCAAAACUGUUUUUCUUGAGUAGUGCAGAGGUAGGCGGAAUUCCCGGUGUAGCGGUGGAAUGCGUAGAUAUCGGGAGGAACACCAGUGGCGAAGGCGGCCUACUGGGCACCAACUGACGCUGAGGCUCGAAAGUGUGGGUAGCAAACAGGAUUAGAUACCCUGGUAGUCCACACCGUAAACGAUGAUUACUAGGUGUUGGAGGAUUGACCCCUUCAGUGCCGCAGUUAACACAAUAAGUAAUCCACCUGGGGAGUACGACCGCAAGGUUGAAACUCAAAGGAAUUGACGGGGGCCCGCACAAGCAGUGGAGUAUGUGGUUUAAUUCGACGCAACGCGAAGAACCUUACCAAGUCUUGACAUCCCUUGACAGGCAUAGAAAUAUGUUUUCUCUUCGGAGCAAGGAGACAGGUGGUGCAUGGUUGUCGUCAGCUCGUGUCGUGAGAUGUUGGGUUAAGUCCCGCAACGAGCGCAACCCUUAUGGUCAGUUACUACGCAAGAGGACUCUGGCCAGACUGCCGUUGACAAAACGGAGGAAGGUGGGGAUGACGUCAAAUCAUCAUGCCCUUUAUGACUUGGGCUACACACGUACUACAAUGGCGUUAAACAAAGAGAAGCAAGACCGCGAGGUGGAGCAAAACUCAGAAACAACGUCCCAGUUCGGACUGCAGGCUGCAACUCGCCUGCACGAAGUCGGAAUUGCUAGUAAUCGUGGAUCAGCAUGCCACGGUGAAUACGUUCCCGGGCCUUGCAC